AUUGGAGAGUUUGAUCCUGGCUCAGGACGAACGCUGGCGGCAUGCCUAAUACAUGCAAGUCGAGCGGACUUGAAGAGAAGCUUGCUUCUCUGAUGGUUAGCGGCGGACGGGUGAGUAACACGUAGGCAACCUGCCCUCAAGCUUGGGACAACUACCGGAAACGGUAGCUAAUACCGAAUAGUUGUUUUCUUCUCCUGAAGAGAACUGGAAAGACG
Molecule: ribosomal RNA, 215 nt
Filed under: Paenibacillus taichungensis
Lineage: Bacteria; Bacillati; Bacillota; Bacilli; Caryophanales; Paenibacillaceae
Description: partial 16S ribosomal RNA
Rfam family: Bacterial small subunit ribosomal RNA
Source: RNAcentral